This is an RNA transcript of Labeo rohita (rohu), 4184 nucleotides long. It is a transcript of the gene named KH domain containing, RNA binding, signal transduction associated 3, with no coding region annotated. NCBI's taxonomy places the organism in Eukaryota, Metazoa, Chordata, Actinopteri, Cypriniformes, Cyprinidae. The transcript is spliced from 11 exons. The record is from RefSeq and is a predicted model, not a curated record.
GCAGUCGUUGCCCGUGGAUACAACAGGGGGAGCUUCAAAGCGGUUGUUUACAGUUGAGAGCGGCAGUCUGACUGGAGGACUCUGACUGGACGGAGGCAUCGGCGAAUUUCCUGCAGAUGGGCUAAAGGCGAACCAUCUGGGAAGCGCAUGGACAGUAGUUAUCACCAGCGCACCUAAAGAAAAAAAAAGCAAACUCCAGCUUCUCUUGUAGAUGCUCACCGGCCGCUAAUAGAAUCACUGGGUUCUUUUCCUUACGACUGGUGCGCAUCUUGUCUGGGUUGCUUUAGGACAACAGCAGGAUCUUACAUUUCACCUCUUAACAACUGACAAGCUUUUUGUCGGACCAAACGCACUGGGCGAGAUGGAUAACGAAAAGUACUUGCCAGAACUGAUGGCGGAGAAGGAUUCUCUGGACCCGUCCUUCCAGCACUCAUUGCGGCUUCUUGAUCAAGAAAUAGAAAAGGUUCAGAAGGAUGAAGACAAAGAGGAUGAGAAGUUCAUCGAUGUGGUCAUCAACAAGAACAUGAAACUGGGACAGAAGGUUUUGAUCCCUGUAAAACAGUUUCCCAAAUUUAAUUUCGUGGGUAAACUCCUGGGCCCUCGAGGGAACUCAUUAAAGAGACUGCAAGAGGACACGCUGACCAAGAUGUCCAUCCUCGGCAAGGGAUCCAUGAGAGACAAAGAAAAGGAAGAAGAACUGCGAAAGAGCGGAGAAGCAAAGUAUCAUCACCUUAACGAAGAUCUCCAUGUGCUGAUCGAGGUGUUCGCACCGCCUGCCGAAGCGUAUGCCAGAAUGGGUCACGCUCUGGAGGAGAUCAAAAAAUUCCUUAUUCCGGACUACAAUGAUGAGAUCAGACAGGCUCAGCUACAGGAGCUGACGUAUCUGAACGGCGGCUCGGAGGACGCCAAAGUCCCAGCGGCCAGGGGCAAAAGCAGCACGCGAGCCAGAGGAACGCCAGCGCCGGGAGCGCCCAGAUGUAGAGGGGGCGUUCCUCCCCCCCAGGCUGCAGUCCCACGGGGGGUGGCGCCCAGAGGAGCUCCGCCCAGCAGGGUUCCAUCCAGCAGAGUAAGGGGCGUUCCCUCACAGAGAGCACGAGGAGCUCCGCCCCCUCCUGGGUACAGACCUCCCCCUCCGGUGGUGCAGGAUACAUACGGUGAAUAUGAAUACGAUGAUGGAUAUGGAACAGCCUACGAUGACCAGGGAUAUGACUCAUAUGACAACAACUACAACAAUCAGGCACCAAACUCAGAUGAUUAUUAUGAAUACAGCCAUGGUAUCAGCGGAGAAGCAUAUGACUCUUACGGCCCGGAGGAAUGGACAAACAACCGCAACAAGGCGCCACCAGCAAGGACAAGCAAAGGAGUGUACAGAGAGCAGCCGUACUCCCGGUUCUGACCUGCUACAGUCCUUCAUGUGCCCUCCCAAGUAAUGGAUUUUCUAUGGACUCUAUUUCCUUUUUUGCAAAUAAAAUCAACCAAAACGACAAAAAUAGCUGAUGGGUAAAAUUUUAAGAUUCUGUGGAACUGAUUCUGUUGUAACCCGGACGACCCCAACAAACGGAACAUUACGGAUCACUGGAUUAUGUAGAUUAAAAUCAGAGAACCAAUCGGAAUUCAAAUAGACCUACUUAUGGCGGAGGGAGGCGGGCACUAGCGGUUCAGGGGCGGAGUUAUAAGAGGUGUACGAUGUUUAGAUUUAGCAGGUCAGUUUUUGUAGAUACUUUUUUUUUGAUGGGUGAUCAGCUUCAAUGUGUCCCUUGUAAAUUCUACCUUUAACUAGACAGAAAAAAAAGUAAAAGAAGAUCUCAGUGCACAUGUUGUUUUCUUUCCUUUCUCUUUUCUAAAUGGAAAGUUCUUCAGCGUUAAAGGGCUUAUAGGAGCAUGUCGUGAAGAAAAAAAAAAAAAAUAAUAACUGUGUGCAGUUUCAGUUGCGAUAAGAAAAGCCUGCGUAGUUUUGUCUGGUUUUUGUGUUGAGCGUUUAAACCCUUUAAUGAGCUCUGUGGUAAUAGGUGUUUUCUUCUAGUGAGCGAUCUACUUUUAGACCUUCCGAGGAGCGUCUGAAUCGACAUUUUUGGGCAAUUAACCUGACUGACUAAAAUUCCCAAUUCAAUUUCACAGAGAGAUUCCUGACAUCUAGAAGUUACUCCUGCACACUUUCCUGUGCAUUUCCAAUGCAUUAUAGCCCACAAAAGCCACUAACGUUGGCUUUCCGUUAGUAUCUUGCAUAGCAUGGAUGGGGUAUAAGUAGCACCAGAGCAUUUAAAAAUUGCAGGAAAGACUAAAACGAAGCAUUGCGAUAGUCAAAGACAUUUACGGGGAAUCGCUUGUCCUUGAAAACAACUUGUAAUGCAUUUUAAGUGCACAGCAAAGUCAUUGCUAAACCAAAUACUGUUGACUAAAGUUUAACUAGUACUGUUUUAUAAAACUAUUCCAAGUCUAAUCAAAUGUAUGCUGAAGUUUCAAAAGUGAUAGUAUUGAAAAUUAUUGUGGUACUGGUGGUGGCAGUUUUAAUACUUUUCUGUUAAGAGCUAUAAUCUUUGUAAGCUUGUGUAAGCCCUUUAAUUCUCGUCUCAGUUGAUUCUAAAAUAAACUUUUUGAAAGAAAAAACCUCGUUGUGUUUGAGAGCACAUUUUGUCCUUGUUUACUUUGGUAAAACUUCAUAAUCUAAACUAACAUCUGCUGUGUAUUAUCAUCCAAAGUGUAGUGUACAGUAUCUUAUGAUGAGAUGAAAAACCCUUUAAGCCCACAUAAAAGUGAAAAAUAAACCAAAACCAAUAUUUGUCCGCCCUGACUUUCUAGUAUUUCUUUCAAAAAUGAAUCUGAUGCACGACAGUAGAGUUAAACGUAAUUGCGAGCGGCACAAUUAAAUGUAUGUGUAAUAUACUGUACCCAGCAGCUUGAAAUAAAUGUGCAAUUCUAAACCUACCUUAUUAUCUGUGAUAAUGCCUUCUACUUGAAAACACACGAGACACUUCUGAAGUUAAUUAUCCACUAAUAUAUCUUUAACUUCUAUAACUUUGCUAGAUUCUAGAGAUACGGUAGUGUUGCAGAUGGAAAUUAACUCCACAUACAGUCAAUAUUGUGGGUGGUUUUUUGACCUUGGUUCUUUUUGGGGAUUUCUGCUUGCUGUUUUUGCUCUUUCUUCCCCCUUCCGGUCACAUGACCGUCUCUAUAGUCCACUAAACAGCCCGCCCCCACAUGACCUCUAAAUGACCCCAGCUGACCUCAGAGCUGAUGAGGAUGGCGGUAGCUGUAUUUACAGGCCUUCGUUCUACAAGAUUGCGAUAGAUGGGCCCGAAGCCAUGAAACGCCACUGAUGCUCUUCUCAGAUUGGUUGAGGGAGGACUGGCUGCAUCAUCUGAUCUUGAAGACUAAAACUGCACAGACGCUGGCAUAGAGAGCUUGUGCUCAGCCAGAAAAACACUAUGAGCGGACCUAAGAAGUCCCUCGCGGCCCACAGAGGAGCACGCCGCUCCACGGGGAAGACUCAAUUUCUACUGGAACUUUCUGGAAAAGGCUUCUGAACCUCUGCGAGGUCACAAAGCGCCACACUAAGAGCGUUAAUGUGCCAAUAACGGGCAGAUGAGCGGUCCACCCUUCUCUCUGCGGUCCUCAAGGGAGACGUGCUGCUUUCACAGCUGCCUCAGACGCGCUAUAUAGGCUCCUACAUGCAUUUUGCAGCAGGCUGCACUGAGGGUGAACCCACUUCUGUCUACACACAGACUUAUGGGUAAUGGGGCCAUGUGUCAUGUGCUAACACAUUAAGACGGGUUUUACUCUUCUAACAGGAGCCGGAGAGAGAAAGACAGUCGGCGAUAUGUGAGUGGGAAAGACAGAGUGAAAUACGAAAGCUAGAUCCAUCACACAAAAAUGAACAUGAAAUAGAUAGAAUGCACUUGUGAUAAGUUCAUUAUGAGGAUGUUGAAUGAAUUCAUCCUAAUAAAGGAACUUUAAUCACAGCGUCUGGCUUCCCAUUAGCUCAGUGUGUCAGAUUUAACAGGGAUCAACUAUAGGGUUUAGCAGGUUUUUCCUGCUAGUCCAGUCAGGUCAGUUUUUAAAAUUCAUAUUGAUUUAUACUUUAUUCAUUUCCUUAAUUUAAUUUAUUGGUUAUUUUUUAUUAUUACAUUUUUAUUAUUAUAUAUUGUUUUUAUUUUUUCACACACACAUGAAAAAAUAUUUUUUGU